AAACCAACAGGGAUUGCCCCAGUAACGGCGAGUGAAGCGGCAAGAGCUCAAAUUUGAAAUCUGGCCUCCCCCGGGGGUCCGAGUUGUAAUUUGCAGAGGAUGCUUCGGGCGCGGCCCCCGUCUAAGUUCCUUGGAACAGGACGUCAGAGAGGGUGAGAAUCCCGUCUUGGGCGGGCGGCCCGCGCCCGUGUGAAGCUCCUUCGACGAGUCGAGUUGUUUGGGAAUGCAGCUCUAAGCGGGUGGUAAAUUUCAUCUAAAGCUAAAUACCGGCCGGAGACCGAUAGCGCACAAGUAGAGUGAUCGAAAGGUUAAAAGCACCUUGAAAAGGGAGUUAAACAGCACGUGAAAUUGUUGAAAGGGAAGCGCUUGCGGCCAGACUCGGGGGGCGGGGUUCAGCGGGCGUUCGUCGCCCGUGCACUGCCCGCUCCCCGGGCCAGCAUCAGCUUCGACGGCCGGUCAAAGGCCCCCGGAAUGUGUCGUCUCUAGGGACGUCUUAUAGCCGGGGGUGCAAUGCGGCCCGUCGAGACUGAGGAACGCGCUCCGGCUCGGAUGCUGGCGUAAUGGCCGUAAGCGGC
This 575-nucleotide ribosomal RNA is filed under the name Trichophyton gourvilii. Its description in RNAcentral is "eukaryotic LSU rRNA". It matches the Rfam family "Eukaryotic large subunit ribosomal RNA", at positions 62 to 648 of the family's 3401-position model. The record is from RNAcentral. Lineage: Eukaryota; Fungi; Ascomycota; Eurotiomycetes; Onygenales; Arthrodermataceae.